AAACUUCAUCUGAAGAAAAACAAAACCUGAUUCUCAAUGUGUGGAGAUGGGCUACUGCUCGAGUUUCUGGUGAUAUGUACCUUGAACUGGAGACGAAACACUGCAGAGGAAGCAGAAUAUCUACUUUCAGCCCAAAACAUUCUCUGCAAACAAAGUCUCACAAAGAAGACUAAUAAUGCAAACCAGAUGUAUUUGGAGUAACGUGAUGGAGUGGCAGGUGGCAGCCAGGGAAGGGAGGUGCUCCUUUCUCCCUGCUGAUCUCCUUUCAACUCGUCAUCUCCCCUGGCAGCCUAGGUAUGUUUGGAAACCACAAAUGUAGGUUAUCUCACCCAAUCCCCAUGACUGCCAUAUGAGGUAGAUAUAAUCACCCCCAUUCAUAAAUGAGGUAACUAACAAGAUGCUGUCAGCUUGCCAAGACAACAUGGUGAGUAAACUUCAUGUUUGCCAAUAUAGUGAAACCAUGUCUCUAGAAAAAAAAAAAAAAAAGUAAUAAUAAUUA
Molecule: long non-coding RNA, 499 nt
Organism: Cercocebus atys (sooty mangabey)
Lineage: Eukaryota; Metazoa; Chordata; Mammalia; Primates; Cercopithecidae
Exons: 3
Source: RefSeq, a predicted model, not a curated record